UCCGUUUAAUCUGAUUAGGAAAAAGUAAAAGAAAAACAUUCUACAGGGCAGUUCGUCCAAGUUGGCCAACCCGCCAUCCAAAGGCCAAAAAUUAUUCCCAUGAAAAAAAAAAUACUUAUACUUUUUCCUAAUCUUAGAACACGAUACCAAAUAUAAACGCAUCCCCACUAUUUUUGUCACAUCCCCUAUAGGGAGCGUGCAUGAACUGUAGGAGGCAGCACAGGAGCCGUCAGAUUUUUGGCGCAAGGCGUAAAUGUGAUGUUUUUUGUUCCGAUGUAGCCCACAAGAUGGCAGAACCUACUAUGCACAAGAAAACACGUGACGUGUACAUGUGCAUGUUUAUGGUUCCGAUUCAGGCCACAAGAUGGCAGACCCUCCAACGCGCACGGUUCCUAUACUAGCUCGUUGUUUAGUAAUUAUUCUGCUAGAAUUCCACAUCGUGUUGUGUCAUCGUAAAAUACUACACAAAACAGGUUGUGAAUUCCACAUCGUGUUUUGUCAUCGUAAAAUACUACACAAAACAGGUUGUUUACUAUCCUGUGUUGUUGUGUUUCUGUUGAGAUCGAUAAAUAAAGCCAAAUUUCUGUUAAGGUUCUUGCGUCACAUGAGUAUGUCGGAAAGGAAUACUCGUACAACACGAGUGUUUGUGAAAAAACGGCCAUGCGUGUUUUUGGCAGACGAAAAGAGUUGAAGGUUUAACGGUUGCGGCUAUUGCCAUUUGAAUAUGGACUGUGAUUGAUGUUAAUAAGCUUCAAAUUCCUUUGGGUGGUAAGGUUCUCUCCCAUGCAUGGCUAAUUUGAAAUUUAAAGACGGUUUUGAUUUGUUAUUGAUAACUUAAUAAUAAUAAUAAUGAUGAUGACUCUCGCUGGGUGGCUGGAUCAAGGGUCUGAUGCAGAAGGCGGUAAUCUUGGACACGGCGCGUAUAGUGCGUCGGUUCCUCUCUCUGCGGCCCUGACCACCGGCAGCUUGGGCCCUGACCUGCUGCUGGCGGCACCCUAGGUUAGGUUAUAUGUAUUUUGUAUUAUUUUUGUACAACUUUUUGUAUUUUACUUUUAUAUCCAUAUUAUAAAAUCCUAACCUAAGAUGAAAGAAAAAUAAAGAGCACAAUAAUAAUAAAAUUCUUUAUUGCACACUAUUACAUUUAAAAGAAUGACAGAUUUACAUAUACAUAUAGCAAUGAGUCGAAUUAAAUUCUCCUACUAUACGUAAACGCAGUAAUAAAUAGAGUUUUUUUGCAGGGCACGCAGAUGUUCAGAAAGCGGUGGUACGUGCUGAUAGCCGCCGGUCUAUGUGCGCUCCACUUCUACUGUUCGUUGGACAUCCUGCUGCCCCGCUUCGAGGGGCAUCGGAGGUAAAUACGAGGAAAUAAAGACGUUCACAUCCAAGCUACACCAGCAUUACUGCUGCAGUGAUGCGGCUGAAUCCUCGGAUCGCCAUUGAAAUAAAAAACCAUUGCAAUUUCAAUCGGGACGAAGGUUUGGGGAUCUCAUCCACAUGGAAUCCAGUUAUUAGUACCUAUAUGUAAGCGGAAACGAAUAUCGGCAGUCAAAAAAUCGAAUAUCAUUAGUGUUGUGUGUCGACAGAGUAACAUUGCUAGUGCCCAAAACAAUAAACAAACCAAAUAAAUAAACAAAAUAAACACAUUAACACACACACAUUUUUGUUAUUGAUAAACAAGACCAAGUGCGGGUAGUUCAAAAACCUCGCGCGGCUAGAUGUCGAUAACUUUAGCUAGUCUUCUACGAGACUACGGGGAAAAUAUAGUCGUCGAAACCCUCCAACGCGCACGGUCUCUAUUAGAAGGAAAAUAUGCAAUAUGAAAAGUGUUCUUAAAUUGUGUGUUUGUGAUUAAGCAUUAACUUAGUGGAUUGCUUUGGAUAGUAUUUUAUUUUUUGUAUUUCAUUAAAGCAUAUUGUACCUCUCUGUAUACGUGCAGCCUAUGGAGGUCCUGUACGCGGACCCACGGGGCCCUCCGGAUACAAUAUAACAACGCGCUCCGGGUGUUGAUGCGGCUGCCUCGUUUCUGCAGCGCCUCAGGGAUGUUCGCAGAAGCGUGUGUCGACUGCUUCAUAGAUAAUACUAAGCGCAAACGAUGCAUAUCCCUGGUGCGCCGGGUGCUGAUGAUUUGUCACCUAUCAAGAAAUGUUUCAUAACAAGAUCAUAAAAAAUUUAAGUUCGAAUCGCCCUCCCGUUCCCAUUUGCAUUUUCUUUCCCAUUCACAUUCGCAUUCCCAUCCGCAUUUGCAUUCUCAUUCUCUUUCCUAUUCCCAUUCCCACUCUUAUUCUUAAUUCCAUUCCCAGAUACCAGCUCUAGUCCUUGUCCAAGUCCAACCUAGUCACUACGCCAGUCCCAAUCCUAGACGAGUCAAAGGAGUCCGAACUGGUGCGGUGAAUGUUCACUUUUAGAAUUUCUUUUUCAAGUAUUUCUUUUUUUAUAGAUCUGAUGUCUCAGGUGCCCCGUAUGAACCACUUUUGAAUUCAAUGGAAGAUGACGAUGAACUAUUGGAUUUAGAUAUAAAUAACAGGUAAGUAGUUAAGAUUUGGUAUUCAUAAGUUUGUGUAAAAAAUUUAAUGUUUUAUCGCUGACUGUACUUCUCUUUCAAUAGGCUACUAAUAGUUAUCGAGACAAUUUAAACAAGCCGCGUUAUUUUGUCAGAGAGUUCCUAGUUUUAUCUGGCAGUUAAUUUACUUCUUAAUUAGCUAUCCACCUCAAAUGCUUGCGUAAGAUCAUGAACAUCAGAUGGUCUGAUGAAGUACGAAAUACCGAAGUUCUACGACGAGCCAAGGUCGGUGGAAUAGAGGCUUACCUGAAACGUCGACAGCUUCGGUGGUGCGGUCACGUAUGGCGUAUGGCGGAGGAGAGAGUGGCGAAUCUAUUAUAUUCUAUGGAUAUGGACACUCCCUCACUUUGUUCUAUCCAAGUUGAUGCAGUUAGCUUGGACAGAUACUAAGUAUAAUUUGCAUAAUUUAUUAUUUUUCUUUUUCAGAACUGCUAUUAUCGAAUUCUUAGAGAGGAAGUUACAGAAUGUCCUAAAAUCGGACAAAGGGACUGGCUGCAAGAUCCCAAAACUGGACCCUUACUCCGACGACUUGGCGUGGUCUUACAAGAAACUGGAACCCCUGAAAUGCAAGGGACAAGAUUGGGUAAAGUGCUAUGUGAGUAUUAAAUAGCUCAAGUCCAUAAAAUUUAUCGGAGCGGUCAAGAUGUUCGCAAAUAUCUGAACAAAGUAUCUAUUAUCAAGAUCUUAAAGUAUAUGUUCAGAUAUUUUAUGCACUUUGGCCGCUGUGGUGUAUCUAAUGAUGACUGUGCAUGUUUUUUAUUUGAAAAUCUUAACAACCGAGAUCGGUCUGGCCUAGUGGGUAGUGAUCCUGCCUAUGAAGUCGAUGCUCCUUGGUUCGUUUACAGUAUCCCUAAGCUCCGUUUCAUCACUUCUUUUGCGCAGUGCUUCUCGGCAUUUCUCUUUCCGCACGUUUAUAACUUGUGACAUUAGGCACUGUAACGUACUUAAAGAAUCUGCUAGUCUUGGAAUUAUGAGGAAUCAGAAGAAAUUCUGAAACCUUCCCAAGUGUUUGCUAGAAUUCACAGGAUUACUUCUUCAAUCCUAUCCGAGUUCUUAAAUUCGCACAUUAGAUUACACACAUCACACACAUUUCCUCCCUCCUCACAUCAAGCUUAUACACAUAUAAAUUUACACUCCUCUUUCCUUUAUCUAAAUAUGCUUAUGUUUAAUAUACCUUGACCCCCCGCGAUACAGGCCAUACCAGUGCGGGGUUCACUGCAAAGUGGCUUUGUUAAAAUACCUUUUAUGUUAAAUAAAGAUUUAAUUUUAAUUUUAGCAUUCAAAAUGUCACGUCGUAGACUCAAUACUCGAUACACAUACAAACAUCCAGUGUAAGUACAGAAACAUUAUCUACAAAGGCGAUUUCUGCUACAACGUCAGGAAACUUACUGUGGUCAAAGAUGGUGACGUAUUCCAACUGUCAGCUAGUGAUCACGUCAACGUUUCCUGUACAGGAACUCUGUCAAGUAUGGGAAAGACUGAAAAAUGGUCAGGCAACACGCUCGGUUUCCGCCCUCUCUCCCCUCCCGCCAAACCUUUGGACGAUCAGAU
Long non-coding RNA from Cydia pomonella (codling moth), 4111 nucleotides. RefSeq lists it as uncharacterized. The transcript has 3 exons. Lineage: Eukaryota; Metazoa; Arthropoda; Insecta; Lepidoptera; Tortricidae. The record is from RefSeq and is a predicted model, not a curated record.